CAGCAGCCGCGGGAAUACGAAGGGGGCUAGCGUUGUUCGGAUUUACUGGGCGUAAAGCGCACGUAGGCGGAUAUUUAAGUCAGGGGUGAAAUCCUGGAGCUCAACUCCAGAACUGCCUUUGAUACUGAAGAUCUUGAGUUCGGGAGAGGUGAGUGGAACUGCGAGUGUAGAGGUGAAAUUCGUAGAUAUUCGCAAGAACACCAGUGGCGAAGGCGGCUCACUGGCCCGAUACUGACGCCGAGGCACGAAAGCGUGGGGAGCAAACAGGAUUAGAUACCCUGUAGUCCCUGUCUCUUAUACA
This 301-nucleotide ribosomal RNA is filed under the name uncultured bacterium. RNAcentral's name for it is "partial 16S ribosomal RNA". It matches the Rfam family "Bacterial small subunit ribosomal RNA", at positions 509 to 808 of the family's 1533-position model. The record is from RNAcentral.